ACCUGUAAUUCUCCCUGAUAAAGCUGGCCCAUGAUCAGGUGUGACCGGGCUAAUUCGGGCCACUGCGGGGAUUGCUCAGCAGUUCUGGGGAGUUUCCCUUCUCUCGCCGGAUCUGAACAGGGAAUCGUGGUGGCCUAAUCACCAGUGAUGGGCAUCUGUUGGCCACAAGACGAAACAUCUUGAAUGACAUUAACCUUAAAAGCAGCAGAGAAGCUUCCCCUCCACCGGGCCGAGCACCGACCCAGGACCCUCGCUCCUCCACGCUCCUUGGAGGGCCCGAGAGCCGGCCACCCUGUCCAGUCUUUGGGACAAUGACCGCGUAGAGGCCUCAGUGAGCCUGCCUCCUUCUUCAAGCCAGCUCCACCCACAGGCACUUUCCUGGGGAAGACGGCGGCCACCGCGCCCUCGGGCCAGGUGCAGAGACGAAUCCUGCAUGGCAUCUACACGAGGUCCUGGAGUCCCGGCCAUAGCGAGCGCCACGUGUGAAUCCACCCGGAGACGUGACCCAGAGCAGGGGCAGCAGCAGCCCUAAGCCACCGCGGCUCCUGCAUAGCGGGCACCGGGCGCUCCGUUCAUUUCCGGCAAGGAUUUUGUCCUGCACUUACUGCGAUGGCCAAUAGGGGGUGCUGAUCAUCAGCUUUGCUGCUAUUCUGCUCUAUGUACUCGAACCAAUUACAAGAGCUCAAAUUCCAACUCAGUUAUUAAAAAUAAAUAAUU
This is a long non-coding RNA of Manis javanica (Malayan pangolin), 717 nucleotides long. RefSeq lists it as uncharacterized. Lineage: Eukaryota; Metazoa; Chordata; Mammalia; Pholidota; Manidae. The record is from RefSeq and is a predicted model, not a curated record.